AAGGGCAUGGUACAGCAGUGUUUACUCACAUUUCAGAUGAACUCUUCUAACUUUGCUACCAAGGAAUGCAAAGAAUAAUGUGUCUGUUCCACGGGACAACAAUAAAACAACCUUUUCUCCUCUCUAGUGGAGGUGGUUAAUAAAUCUCUAAUGCUGUAGCUAAUUGCUUGGUGGAAGAAGGUUGUCCUAUAAUGGUGAAAGUAGCAAUAUAAGCAAUAAUAGGGACAAAAAAGUCAUUUACAAGUAAAAGCGCUGCCAUUUUGAUGAGUAAAUGUGUAAAAUAAAAUCUAUAACGACACAGAUUUGGUUGAAGGACACAGCAGUAGGUUAUGGCUUUAAAUUAGGAAUGGUUAAAGCAGAACCAGAUGUUUGCCAACCCCAUGAGUACACGCUCAAAGUAUGUUAGGUGUAAAUGUAAUUCAAAUGGACACUCUUAAAAGUGUUCCUUAACGGUGCGUUACAGUAUGAAAUCAUACGUCACUGUCAUAACUCAUCUCCUUCAUUGCUAUUAGCGGGUGACAGGGGCGUGCGUUCCUAAACUGGAAACUGUGUCAACACCAAAGGUGUAGUUUCUCCUGAAAUGCAGUGGAUCCCGUACAACUGGUUCUUCACGGGUGUUGAUCCCUUGUGACUCUCACUGUAGACCGAUGUCUCAGAGCGUGAGGAUGCUAUUUCACUGACCGUCAGUUACAAAUCAGGGCGCAUUCAGGACAUAACCAAGAGAAACACUCAUGUUGCAACUUCUGGGAACUGUUGUUGGCCUCCUCUUCAUCAUAAUGUGCUUUUCAAAAGGACUCAAAGAG
Long non-coding RNA from Acanthopagrus latus (yellowfin seabream), 803 nucleotides. RefSeq lists it as uncharacterized. Lineage: Eukaryota; Metazoa; Chordata; Actinopteri; Spariformes; Sparidae. The record is from RefSeq and is a predicted model, not a curated record. The transcript has 3 exons.